Molecule: ribosomal RNA, 621 nt
Filed under: uncultured bacterium
Lineage: Bacteria
Description: bacterial SSU rRNA
Rfam family: Bacterial small subunit ribosomal RNA (bases 1-535)
Source: RNAcentral
CCUACGGGAGGCAGCAGUGGGGAAUAUUGCGCAAUGGACGAAAGUCUGACGCAGCGACGCCGCGUGUGGGAUGAAGCUCUUCGGGGUGUAAACCACUGUUGCCCGGGAAGAAACUCCUGAUUCGUCAGGACUGACGGUACCGGGUGAGGAAGCACCGGCUAACUCUGUGCCAGCAGCCGCGGUAAUACAGAGGGUGCGAGCGUUGUCCGGAAUCACUGGGCGUAAAGGGCGCGUAGGUGGCGGGAUAAGUGUGUGGUGAAAGCUCGGGACUCAACCCCGAGUCUGCCAUGCAGACUGUCUUGCUCGAGCGUAGUAGAGGCAGGUGGAAUUCCGGGUGUAGCGGUGGGAUGCGUAGAGAUCCGGAAGAACACCGGUGGCGAAGGCGGCCUGCUGGGCUACUGCUGACACUGAGGCGCGACAGCGUGGGGAGCAAACAGGAUUAGAUACCCUGGUAGUCCACGCCGUAAACGAUGGGUACUAGGUGUCUGGGGGAACGACCCCCUGGGUGCCGGCGCUAACGCAUGAAGUACCCGCCUGGGGAGUACGGCCGCGAAGGCAGAACGUAAAGUAAAGUUAGACGGCGUGAGACGUAGACCGAACGGACGACGACGAGGGAGGAGG